RNAcentral lists this ribosomal RNA (408 nucleotides) under uncultured bacterium. RNAcentral describes it as "partial 16S ribosomal RNA". It matches the Rfam family "Bacterial small subunit ribosomal RNA", at positions 28 to 526 of the family's 1533-position model. The record is from RNAcentral.
GAUGAACGCUGGCGGCGUGCUUAACACAUGCAAGUCGAACGGAGUGGCGAACGGGUGAGUAACACGUGGGUGAUCUGCCCUGUACUUCGGGAUAAGCUUGGGAAACUGGGUCUAAUACCGGAUAGUAGGGGAUGAGCUCGCGGCCUAUCAGCUUGUUGGUGGGGUAAUGGCCUACCAAGGCGUCGACGGGUAGCCGGCCUGAGAGGGUGUACGGCCACAUUGGGACUGAGAUACGGCCCAGACUCCUACGGGAGGCAGCAGUGGGGAAUAUUGCACAAUGGGCGCGAGCCUGAUGCAGAAACGCCGCGUGCGGGAUGACGGCCUUCGGGUUGUAAACCGCUUUCAGCCAUGACGCGCUCGUGGCCUAUGAAGCACCGACUAACUUCGUGCCAGCAGCCGCGGUAAUUC